GAUGAAGAACGUAGCGAAAUGCGAUAAGUAAUGUGAAUUGCAGAAUUCAGUGAAUCAUCGAAUCUUUGAACGCACAUUGCGCCCGCCAGUAUUCUGGCGGGCAUGCCUGUUCGAGCGUCAUUUCAACCACCAAGCCCCAGGCUUGUGUUGGAGCCCUGCGGCUGCCGCAGCCUCCCAAAACCAGUGGCGGGCUCGCUAUCACACCGAGUGCAGUAGUUUACUCUUCGCUCAGGGCGUGUGGCGGGUGCUAGCCGUAAAACCCCCAACUUCUCAAGGUUGACCUCGGAUCAGGUAGGAAUACCCGCUGAACUUAAGCAUAUCAAUAAGCGGAGGA
RNAcentral lists this unclassified non-coding RNA (334 nucleotides) under soil metagenome. RNAcentral's name for it is "partial contains 5.8S ribosomal RNA, internal transcribed spacer 2, and large subunit ribosomal RNA". The stretch from base 1 to 120 matches the Rfam family "5.8S ribosomal RNA", at positions 35 to 154 of the family's 154-position model. The record is from RNAcentral.